Molecule: ribosomal RNA, 561 nt
Filed under: Triticum aestivum (bread wheat)
Lineage: Eukaryota; Viridiplantae; Streptophyta; Magnoliopsida; Poales; Poaceae
Description: partial small subunit ribosomal RNA
Source: RNAcentral
AUGUGGUGCCCGUUAGGAGUAGUGAAUUGCCUGAGUUGGAAUUGUCGGGGCGUUGGGGAAAAACCACUAGUUUGAUAUUUGGUAGUUUUAGUAAAGUCUACUAAUGCAAGGAUGGUGUUCUUGUGUGAAACUAGGCAAAAUUCAGAAAAAGUCUGUCGUUUGCAUAAUAGAAUAGGUCUAAGAUGUUUUGCUGGUAUCGAUAGUAAUGGUCUUAGUGGAGGUCUUGCCUUGUUUCGAUGUGAUCAGUUGUACGUUGAUGUCCAAGAUAUGAAUGAAAGGUUUAUCGAUGCGUAUGUCUGUGUCUCCCCUUCUACAUGGCUUUGGUGUCUUACUUGUGUUACAGUGAACCCCGAGUGGAAAAAAUUGAGGGCAAAUUCAGACCUUCCAUGGAGUGUUAUAGGGGACUUUAAUGAAGCCAUGUGGUUGUUUGAGCACCUUGCAACAACACAACGAAAUGAGAAUCAAAUGAUAGCAUUCAGUUAUUCUCUUGAAUGUUGCGACCUGGUGGAUUUGUGCUUCCAAGGUCCCCCUUUUACGUAUGACAAUAAGCAGACAAAAUAA